UACAGAGGGGGCAAGCGUUGUUCGGAAUUACUGGGCGUAAAGGGCGCGUAGGCGGCCCGCUAAGUCGAACGUGAAAUCCCCGAGCUCAACUCGGGAACUGCGUCCGAUACUGGCGGGCUUGAAUCCGGGAGAGGGAUGCGGAAUUCCCAGGUGUAGUGGUGAAGUGCGUAGAUAUCUGGAGGAAUACCGGUGGCGAAGGCGGCAUCCUGGACCGACAUUGACGCUGAGGAGCGAAAGCUAGGGGGAGCAAACGGGG
This 256-nucleotide ribosomal RNA is filed under the name uncultured bacterium. RNAcentral describes it as "partial 16S ribosomal RNA". It matches the Rfam family "Bacterial small subunit ribosomal RNA", at positions 524 to 777 of the family's 1533-position model. The record is from RNAcentral.